CCAAACACAUAUAAACCA
Molecule: microRNA, 18 nt
Filed under: Corchorus capsularis
Lineage: Eukaryota; Viridiplantae; Streptophyta; Magnoliopsida; Malvales; Malvaceae
Description: sRNA CCACVL1_18829
Source: RNAcentral